UACGUAGGGCGCAAGCGUUAUCCGGAAUUAUUGGGCGUAAAGAGCUCGUAGGCGGUUUGUCGCGUCUGCUGUGAAAUCUGGGGGCUCAACCCCCAGCCUGCAGUGGGUACGGGCAGACUAGAGUGCGGUAGGGGAGAUUGGAAUUCCUGGUGUAGCGGUGGAAUGCGCAGAUAUCAGGAGGAACACCGAUGGCGAAGGCAGAUCUCUGGGCCGUAACUGACGCUGAGGAGCGAAAGCAUGGGGAGCGAACAGG
This 253-nucleotide ribosomal RNA is filed under the name uncultured bacterium. Its description in RNAcentral is "partial 16S ribosomal RNA". It matches the Rfam family "Bacterial small subunit ribosomal RNA", at positions 524 to 776 of the family's 1533-position model. The record is from RNAcentral.